Molecule: transfer RNA, 73 nt
Filed under: Deltaproteobacteria bacterium CG11_big_fil_rev_8_21_14_0_20_49_13
Lineage: Bacteria; Deltaproteobacteria
Description: tRNA-Lys
Rfam family: tRNA
About the family: Transfer RNA (tRNA) molecules are approximately 80 nucleotides in length. Their secondary structure includes four short double-helical elements and three loops (D, anti-codon, and T loops).
Source: RNAcentral
GGGGCGCUAGCUCAGUUGGUAGAGCACCGCCCUUUUAAGGCGGGUGUCCCGGGUCCGAGUCCCGGGCGCCUCA